Molecule: ribosomal RNA, 254 nt
Filed under: uncultured bacterium
Lineage: Bacteria
Description: partial 16S ribosomal RNA
Rfam family: Bacterial small subunit ribosomal RNA
Source: RNAcentral
UACGGAGGGUGCAAGCGUUAUCCGGAUUCACUGGGUUUAAAGGGUGCGUAGGAGGGCAGGGAAGUCCGUGGUGAAAUCCUAGAGCUUAACUCUAGAACUGCCGUGGAUACUCUCUGUCUUGAAUCCCGUGGAGAUGAGCGGAAGUAUGUCAUGUAGCGGUGAAAUGCUUAGAUAUGACAUAGAACACCAAUUGCGAAGGCAGCUCGUUACACGAAGAUUGACUCUGAGGCGCGAAAGCGUGGGGAUCAAACAGG